CAGGCCCUCAUGGAUUAAAUAUCACCCACCGUGAGCCUGGCUAAUACAGCCAAUACAUAAGAAUACACCAUGAGCAAGCUUUGGUUGGAUGUGGGGACGUACAAACAGGCAUCUGCAGCUCUGCUCUGAGCUUCAGCUCAGCUUCAGCUUCUCAGACUGUGGCAUCCUCCCAAAAGGAAUUGCUAUGACAAAUAAAAACACUAUAGAUAUGAUUUCAGCCAAACAUACACUGUCUCACAUAAACAAAGAUUAUCAGUUGUACUACAGCAGAUAUAAAGGUAACUUAUUUGAACUAAAAAUGGUUAUCUGUGGUGCAGAGGAUGUUUUAUGGCAUUUCAUGCCAGCAGCAUUGGUGCACGUUGUGGAGAAAAAACCCCUAAAGAUGCUAAAUCCAAAAGAUUUUACUGUCCAGGGUCACAGGGAGCCUGGAGCCUAUCCCAGAGGACUUGGGGCACAAGGUGGGGGACACCCUGGACGGGGUGCUAACCCAUCGUAGUGCACAAUCCCACACACUCGCACACUCAUUCUCACACUACAGACCAUUUGGAAAUGCCAAUCAGCCUACAAUGCAUGUUUAUGGACUGGGAGAGGAAACCGGAGUACCCAGAGGAAGACCCUAAAGCAUGGGAAGAACAUGCAAGCUCUGCGCACACACAGGGCAGAAGUGGGAAUCGAACCACAAACCCUCUUCCUCCAGCUGCUGCACUGAGCUUCACGGUGUGUUCACCUGGGACAUCAGGUCAGACUUCUCACUGUCCAGCUGAGCACUGGACUUGAUCGCUGGCCCAUAUUUCCCUUCAGCUUCAGCCACAGUGACCUGGAAGUUCAAAAACUGGCUUUAUUUACUUCUAUACCCCACACACAUUCAGACACUGUUGUGGACUUGAUUCGUCACUCAUCAGAUCAGCCUGAAAUGUUUUGCGGACACAGGACCAAAUGUCUUCACAACAUGACUGAACAAGGAUCAACACAGACAGUUCACAAUAGCAGUCAUAAUUACAUGAGAAGAAGAAGUUGAAAAGAUUACUCUUAGUGACUCCUUGUUGUGUGAUUGAGUUUCCUUCAUUUCAUCAUACGACAACUUCAGGUCACUGUGAGUUUCCCGCUCACGCUUACACUCCUAAAACACAGUCAUGGAGCAAAAGACAUUUUUAACUUAGUGCUAAACUAGCUGCUUCACUUCAAUGAAGAAGGAAUAACUUCAAAGUAGAGUGAAUUUUGGUCAUGUAGAAUUUGUGAAUUUUACGUUUUUGUUUACAUUACAAGUAUUUUUCUUUAGUUUAUAAGGCUGUCUUGCUGAAACACAUGUAAAGUAAAAAUACCCAAAUUAAAUAAAUUCACUCUCUCUAAGCCUACCUCCUGAGUUCUCAACUUCCUCAUGCCAACCAGGGUGCAACAGUCUCUGAUGGCUCAUUUGAAUUUUAUCAUGAAAGAAACAAAAACGGUCGGAGCACAGAAAAAUCGUAGCGGAGUUACAGCUUCCUGUAGCCUUAUUACAUAAAGUUGACUUGGCAGGGGAAUUGGCAUCCGUGUUCUCAACAUUCUACGAGGGCGAACAGCUCCAAAAAUAAUCAACUUUGAUGUGUAAAGAGUAAUUUCUAUUGGCAUAAUAUCACUACCAUUAUAACAAGGGUCCAUUUUUGUUUUUGCACAAGUGUAGAUUGUGCUAAUUGAUGACCUAAGCAGAAAGUAUUUUAUUUAAUCGCAGGUCUACCAUAGAUCUAUCUUCAGCAUAUAAUCUGUAGCGGUGUACCCAGACCUAUUACAAUGGUAUGGCCAGGUUAGACCCAAUGCUUUUCUUGUUGUUGCAAUCUAGG
Long non-coding RNA from Ictalurus punctatus (channel catfish), 1817 nucleotides. Lineage: Eukaryota; Metazoa; Chordata; Actinopteri; Siluriformes; Ictaluridae. The record is from Ensembl.